UACGAAGGGUGCAAACGUUGCUCGGAAUUAUUGGGCGUAAAGCGCACGUAGGCGGUUCGUUAUGUCGGAUGUGAAAGCCCUUGGCUUAACCGAGGAAGUGCAUCCGAAACUGGCGAGCUAGAGUACGAAAGAGGAUCGCGGAAUUCCCGGUGUAGAGGUGAAAUUCGUAGAUAUCGGGAGGAACACCGGUGGCGAAGGCGGCGAUCUGGGUCGAUACUGACGCUGAGGUGCGAAAGCGUGGGGAGCAAACAGG
Molecule: ribosomal RNA, 253 nt
Filed under: uncultured bacterium
Lineage: Bacteria
Description: partial 16S ribosomal RNA
Rfam family: Bacterial small subunit ribosomal RNA
Source: RNAcentral